Molecule: ribosomal RNA, 541 nt
Filed under: Peptostreptococcus anaerobius
Lineage: Bacteria; Bacillati; Bacillota; Clostridia; Peptostreptococcales; Peptostreptococcaceae
Description: partial 16S ribosomal RNA
Rfam family: Bacterial small subunit ribosomal RNA
Source: RNAcentral
GGCAGCAGUAGGGAUUCUUCCGCAAUGGACAAAAGUCUGACGGAGCAACGCCGCAUGAGUGAAGAAGGUCUUCGGAUCGUAAAACUCAGUUGUUAAAGAAGAACAAGGAUUAGAGUAACUGCUCAUCCCCUGACGGUAUUUGACGAGAAAGCCACGGCUAACUACGUGCCAGCAGCCGCGGUAAUACGUAGGUGGCAAGCGUUGUCCGGAUUUAUUGGGAUAAAGCGAGCGCAGGCGGUUCUUUAAGUAUGAUAAAAAGCCCCCGGCUCAACCGGGCCCUUCGAUUACUGAAACUGGAGAACUGAGUGCAGAAGAGGAGAGUGGAAUUCCACGUGUAGCGGUGAAAGGCGUAGAUAUGUGGAGGAACACCAGGGGAGAAGGGGACUCUCUGGUCAGUAACAGACUCGAGGCUAAAAAGCGGGGGGAGCAAACAGGAUUAAAUAACCUUAAAUCCAAGGGGGAAUUCCCCCUUGGGGGCAGCCCGGGGGAUCCCCUUUUUUAAAACCGCCCCCCCCCCGGAAGCCAAAUUUAAAAAUUAUUU